AAUAUUGGACAAUGGGUGAGAGGCUGUUCUAGCCAUGCCGCGUGUGUUAAGUAGGUCUUCGGUUGGUAAAGCACUUUAUGGUGGGAGGAAGGGCAGGAAGCUAAUACCUUCCUGUUUUGACGUUACCGACAGUAUAAGCACCGGCUCACUUCGUUCCAGCAGCCGCGGUAAUACGAAGGUUUCAAGCGUUAAUCGGAAUUACUGGGCGUAAAGCGCGCGUAGGUGGUUUGUUAAGUUGGAAGUGAAAGCCCCGGGCUCAACCUGGGAACUGCUUUCAAAACUGGCAAGCUAGAGUAUGGCAGAGGGUGGUGGAAUUUCCUGUGUAGCGGUGAAAUGCGUAGAUAUAGGAAGGAACACCAGUGGCGAAGGCGACCACCUGGGCUAAUACUGACACUGAGGUGCGAAAGCGUGGGGAGCAAAC
Molecule: ribosomal RNA, 421 nt
Filed under: uncultured bacterium
Lineage: Bacteria
Description: partial 16S ribosomal RNA
Rfam family: Bacterial small subunit ribosomal RNA
Source: RNAcentral